AUUGAACGCUGGCGGCAGGCUUAACACAUGCAAGUCGAGCGGGGGAAGGUAGCUUGCUACCGGACCUAGCGGCGGACGGGUGAGUAAUGCUUAGGAAUCUGCCUAUUAGUGGGGGACAACAUCUCGAAAGGGAUGCUAAUACCGCAUACGUCCUACGGGAGAAAGCAGGGGAUCUUCGGACCUUGCGCUAAUAGAUGAGCCUAAGUCGGAUUAGCUAGUUGGUGGGGUAAAGGCCUACCAAGGCGACGAUCUGUAGCGGGUCUGAGAGGAUGAUCCGCCACACUGGGACUGAGACACGGCCCAGACUCCUACGGGAGGCAGCAGUGGGGAAUAUUGGACAAUGGGGGGAACCCUGAUCCAGCCAUGCCGCGUGUGUGAAGAAGGCCUUAUGGUUGUAAAGCACUUUAAGCGAGGAGGAGGCUACUUUAGUUAAUACCUAGAGAUAGUGGACGUUACUCGCAGAAUAAGCACCGGCUAACUCUGUGCCAGCAGCCGCGGUAAUACAGAGGGUGCGAGCGUUAAUCGGAUUUACUGGGCGUAAAGCGUGCGUAGGCGGCUUAUUAAGUCGGAUGUGAAAUCCCCGAGCUUAACUUGGGAAUUGCAUUCGAUACUGGUGAGCUAGAGUAUGGGAGAGGAUGGUAGAAUUCCAGGUGUAGCGGUGAAAUGCGUAGAGAUCUGGAGGAAUACCGAUGGCGAAGCAGCCAUCUGGCCUAAUACUGACGCUGAGGUACGAAAGCAUGGGGAGCAAAC
RNAcentral lists this ribosomal RNA (750 nucleotides) under Acinetobacter baumannii Naval-18. RNAcentral's name for it is "bacterial SSU rRNA". It matches the Rfam family "Bacterial small subunit ribosomal RNA", at positions 28 to 773 of the family's 1533-position model. Lineage: Bacteria; Pseudomonadati; Pseudomonadota; Gammaproteobacteria; Moraxellales; Moraxellaceae. The record is from RNAcentral.